Molecule: non-coding RNA, 25 nt
Filed under: Cricetulus griseus (Chinese hamster)
Lineage: Eukaryota; Metazoa; Chordata; Mammalia; Rodentia; Cricetidae
Source: RNAcentral
GAGACACGGUCUCCCUCUGUAGUCC